RNAcentral lists this ribosomal RNA (468 nucleotides) under uncultured bacterium. RNAcentral describes it as "partial 16S ribosomal RNA". It matches the Rfam family "Bacterial small subunit ribosomal RNA", at positions 28 to 507 of the family's 1533-position model. The record is from RNAcentral.
GACGAACGCUGGCGGCGUGCUUAACACAUGCAAGUCGAACGGAAAGGCCCUGCGUUUGUGGGGCGCUCGAGAGGCGAAGGGGGGAGAAAAACGUGAGUAACCUGCCCUUGACAGUGGGAGAACUUCAGGAAAAAGGGGCGAAAACCGGAGAGGAGCUACUGCAGCAUGGGGGGGGAUGGAAAGAGCCGGCGGUGGGGGAUGGACUCGCGGGUUAUCAGCUGGUUGGUGGGGUAGUGGCUUCCCAAGGCUUUGAGGGGUAGGCGGCCUUGGAGGUUGACCGGCCACAUUGGUCCUGAGAUACGGCCCAGACUCCUACCGUAGGCAGCAGUGGGGAAUCUUGCGCAGUGGGCGGAAGCCUGAUGCAGCAACGCCGCGUGCGGGAUGCCGGCCUUCGGGUUGUAAACCGCUUUCGCCUGUAACGAAGCGUUAGUGACGGUAAUGGGUCAAGAAGCCCCGGCUAACUACGUG